AACGAACGCUGGCGGCAUGCCUAACACAUGCAAGUCGAACGAGACCUUCGGGUCUAGUGGCGCACGGGUGCGUAACGCGUGGGAAUCUGCCUUUAGGUUCGGAAUAACUCAGAGAAAUUUGAGCUAAUACCGGAUGAUGUCUUCGGACCAAAGAUUUAUCGCCUUUAGAUGGGCCCGCGUUGGAUUAGCUAGUUGGUGGGGUAAAGGCCUACCAAGGCGACGAUCCAUAGCUGGUCUGAGAGGAUGAUCAGCCACACUGGGACUGAGACACGGCCCAGACUCCUACGGGAGGCAGCAGUGGGGAAUAUUGGACAAUGGGCGAAAGCCUGAUCCAGCAAUGCCGCGUGAGUGAUGAAGGCCUUAGGGUUGUAAAGCUCUUUUACCCGAGAUGAUAAUGACAGUAUCGGGAGAAUAAGCUCCGGCUAACUCCGUG
RNAcentral lists this ribosomal RNA (433 nucleotides) under uncultured bacterium. Its description in RNAcentral is "partial 16S ribosomal RNA". It matches the Rfam family "Bacterial small subunit ribosomal RNA", at positions 29 to 507 of the family's 1533-position model. The record is from RNAcentral.